This is a non-coding RNA of Nicotiana tabacum (common tobacco), 251 nucleotides long. The record is from RefSeq and is a predicted model, not a curated record. NCBI's taxonomy places the organism in Eukaryota, Viridiplantae, Streptophyta, Magnoliopsida, Solanales, Solanaceae.
UGAUAUACAAACCUAUUAACUUUAUUGAUGUGUUAGGCUCUCCUUUGAAAUCAAUUGACCAAAGUGGCUGUUCCACCAAGCUGUUCUUCAGUGCUAGGCGUGGAGCAAAACCAUCCUCAUCUGGAAGAUCAUUGUCUAUUCAAGCGAGAUAUAGUGAUGGUGGAAGGCCAAGCAAUGGUGGCUUCUUUAUUGGUGGCUUUGUUUUGGGAGGAUUAAUUGUUGGCACACUUGGUUGUGUCUAUGCACCUCAG